CGGACGGGUGAGUAAUGCAUAGGAAUCUACCCAGUAGUGGGGGACAACUCGGGGAAACUCGAGCUAAUACCGCAUACGACCUACGGGUGAAAGUGGGGGAUCUUCGGACCUCACGCUAUUGGAUGAGCCUAUGUCAGAUUAGCUAGUUGGUGGGGUAAUGGCCUACCAAGGCGACGAUCUGUAGCUGGUUUGAGAGGAUGAUCAGCACACUGGGACUGAGACACGGCCCAG
RNAcentral lists this ribosomal RNA (231 nucleotides) under uncultured bacterium. RNAcentral's name for it is "partial 16S ribosomal RNA". It matches the Rfam family "Bacterial small subunit ribosomal RNA", at positions 99 to 334 of the family's 1533-position model. The record is from RNAcentral.